AGAGUUUGAUCAUGGCUCAGAACGAACGCUGGCGGCAGGCCUAACACAUGCAAGUCGAACGAUAAGCCACCUUCGGGUGGUGGACAGUGGCAGACGGGUGAGUAACGCGUGGGAACGUGCCUUUCGGUUCGGAAUAACCCAGGGAAACUUGGGCUAAUACCGGAUACGCCCUUCGGGGGAAAGAUUCAUUGCCGAAAGAUCGGCCCGCGUCGGAUUAGCUAGUUGGUGGGGUAAUGGCUCACCAAGGCGACGAUCCGUAGCUGGUCUGAGAGGAUGACCAGCCACACUGGGACUGAGACACGGCCCAGACUCCUACGGGAGGCAGCAGUGGGGAAUAUUGGACAAUGGGCGCAAGCCUGAUCCAGCCAUGCCGCGUGGGUGAAGAAGGCCUUAGGGUUGUAAACCCCUUUCAGCGGGGAAGAUAAUGACGGUACCCGCAGAAGAGC
Molecule: ribosomal RNA, 446 nt
Filed under: uncultured Microvirga sp.
Lineage: Bacteria; Pseudomonadati; Pseudomonadota; Alphaproteobacteria; Hyphomicrobiales; Methylobacteriaceae
Description: bacterial SSU rRNA
Rfam family: Bacterial small subunit ribosomal RNA
Source: RNAcentral